UACGUAGGGGGCGAGCGUUAUCCGGAUUCAUUGGGCGUAAAGCGCGCGUAGGCGGCCGCCUAAGCGGAACCUCUAACCCCGGGGCUCAACCUCGGGCCGGGUUCCGGACUGGGCGGCUCGAGUGCGGUAGAGGAGAGCGGAAUUCCCGGUGUAGCGGUGGAAUGCGCAGAUAUCGGGAAGAACACCGAUGGCGAAGGCAGCUCUCUGGGCCGUCACUGACGCUGAGGCGCGAGAGCUGGGGGAGCGAACAGG
Molecule: ribosomal RNA, 252 nt
Filed under: uncultured bacterium
Lineage: Bacteria
Description: partial 16S ribosomal RNA
Rfam family: Bacterial small subunit ribosomal RNA
Source: RNAcentral